AAUGGGCGAAAGCCUGACGCAGCAACGCCGUGUGAGGGAUGAAGGCUUUCGGGUCGUAAACCUCUGUCGGAAGGGAAGAACGGGCAAGGGUCCAAUAGGCCCCUGUUUUGACGGUACCUUUAGAGGAAGCACCGGCUAACUCCGUGCCGGCAGCCGCGGUAAUACGGCGGGUGCAAGCGUUAUUCGGAAUUACUGGGCGUAAAGCGCACGUAGGCCGCUUUGUAAGUCAGGGGUGAAAUCCCACGGCUCAACCGUGGAACUGCCCUUGAAACUGCAGAGCUCGAAUCCUGGAGAGGGUGGCGGAAUUCCUGGUGUAGGAGUGAAAUCCGUAGAUAUCAGGAGGAACACCGGUGGCGAAGGCGGCCACCUGGACAGGUAUUGACGCUGAGGUGCGAAAGUGUGGGGAGCAAA
Molecule: ribosomal RNA, 411 nt
Filed under: uncultured bacterium
Lineage: Bacteria
Description: bacterial SSU rRNA
Rfam family: Bacterial small subunit ribosomal RNA
Source: RNAcentral